GCAGGGAGGAUAGUGGAUAGCACGUUUGCCUUACACCUUCAGGGUUGGGGGUUCGAUUCCCUCUGCUGCC
Non-coding RNA from Ameiurus melas (black bullhead), 70 nucleotides. NCBI's taxonomy places the organism in Eukaryota, Metazoa, Chordata, Actinopteri, Siluriformes, Ictaluridae. The record is from the annotation of a GenBank genome assembly.